CAUCUGUAAUGAGAUCUGGUACCC
Molecule: non-coding RNA, 24 nt
Filed under: Cricetulus griseus (Chinese hamster)
Lineage: Eukaryota; Metazoa; Chordata; Mammalia; Rodentia; Cricetidae
Source: RNAcentral